RNAcentral lists this ribosomal RNA (433 nucleotides) under uncultured bacterium. RNAcentral describes it as "partial 16S ribosomal RNA". It matches the Rfam family "Bacterial small subunit ribosomal RNA", at positions 29 to 507 of the family's 1533-position model. The record is from RNAcentral.
AACGAACGCUGGCGGCAUGCCUAACACAUGCAAGUCGAACGAACCCUUCGGGGUUAGUGGCGCACGGGUGCGUAACGCGUGGGAAUCUGCCCUUUGCUUCGGAAUAACUCAGGGAAACUUGUGCUAAUACCGGAUGAUGUCUUCGGACCAAAGAUUUAUCGGCAAGGGAUGAGCCCGCGUAGGAUUAGGUAGUUGGUGGGGUAAAGGCCUACCAAGCCGACGAUCCUUAGCUGGUCUGAGAGGAUGAUCAGCCACACUGGGACUGAGACACAGCCCAGACUCCUACGGGAAGCAGCAGUGGGGAAUAUUGGACAAUGGGCGCAAGCCUGAUCCAGCAAUGCCGCGUGAGUGAUGAAGGCCCUCGGGUCGUAAAGCUCUUUUACCAGGGAUGAUAAUGACAGUACCUGGAGAAUAAGCUCCGGCUAACUCCGUG